Molecule: long non-coding RNA, 1418 nt
Organism: Astatotilapia calliptera (eastern happy)
Lineage: Eukaryota; Metazoa; Chordata; Actinopteri; Cichliformes; Cichlidae
Source: Ensembl
GUUAGAUUUCGUUCCAAGUGUAUAUGAAUUUUCCAGUUUUUGUAGCCUAUUGUUUUGCAACUUACAAAUCUUACUAUAAACAAUGGUAUCAUAUGUAUGCACAUAUAAUACCAUGUAUGUUUACUGUCUCUUCUUUAAUAGGUCGGUCCAUCUAAAUGAAACUAUUAAUUGUCAUACAUACAGCAUUUAUUCACUCUGAUUAAAAAUAAACCCAAAUCCAAAAGACCCCCCAGUUCUUUUUGAUUUUCUAUAUCUUAUGUUCGUUUCAUCAUUACCCUGUGUAUGCCAUGGUAUGUUCUCAAUUUGCGUUUCUUUCAGUCACCAGGAAAUAUGGAAUAAAGAACUUUAAAAAGUGUUGCAAGCUUGGCAAACACCAUGCAUAGGGCAGGUUUUUGCUAUUAUCACCCAAUUAGGUAAUUAUUAUCACUCAAUUUCCACCUAAUUGGAUAAUUACUAUCACUACCUUAUUUGUCUCUGUGAUGAUUUACCGGGCAUAUACAGCUCCAUCCUUUCUUUACUUGAGGUUUUUUUUUUUUUCAGAGUUUUCUCUUUAAGGUUAAACACAGGUUUAAAUAAGGUUUAAUAGCAUGGAUCUUUUAGGGGGGUUGCUGCUUUGAGUGACACUUUGUGGUGAUGCAUGCAACUAUAACCAACAACCUUCUGACAUGCUAUAGCUUAGUAAGAACUUUAAUCCAUGUUUGUAAUUUUGUGCCUUUUUGGAGAUUUCUUUUUGUGCAGUUGUUUAGAAAUGUUAAUUUGAAAUCAUUGAUUGUGCAUUUGCUAUGGUUAGCUGGUUUAAUUAUUUUUUUAUUUCACUAUUGUAUGCAGUAUGUUGGCUUUUGUAAAGCAUUUUCUUGCUUUUUGUGUGGUUAAUAGCACAGACUGUCCAGGAAGUAAACACCCAAGUUCCUUGGUGAAGGAAAUGCCUAUUUUACUUUACUUAUGUGUUACAUCUAAUUAGGAUAUGUUUUUGUCUGAGUGAUGCCCCUGGAUGUAUCUUAUUGACGUGAAUUAGCUGAUAAUAUCAUUGUUCAUGAUCCUGUCUGGCUCCUUCAAAGUGAUUGUUAAGAUAUCUAGAGCCGAGUCUUGGUUCUGGGUAUCAGUGGGGGGCUGCUGCACUAGUCAAACAAAAACAGAAUAAAUAAUAGUAAUUUUUUGCAGCCCUAACUGGUACCCUUUCCUUGUGCAAACAUUAUACAUUUAUUUAAAUUUUUUAUUUAGCUUAAAUAACCUGGCCAGGACAGUGCACUGUGGGUCAAGUUGUCUGUCUGCGUCUCAGGCAGACGUUCCUAUUCUCAGAUGUCAACAACAUGUCACAUUUGUCAUAUUGAUACUGUCCUCGUCAAAGCUGUCCAAGUCCUCUGCUGUGGCUUUCAGAAAGCAGAGAUAAGGGAGGUGGAAAUUAUGCUGCUUGGCUU